This 520-nucleotide ribosomal RNA is filed under the name Ornebius sp. AME1. Its description in RNAcentral is "partial small subunit ribosomal RNA". The stretch from base 394 to 520 matches the Rfam family "Bacterial large subunit ribosomal RNA", at positions 2473 to 2600 of the family's 2925-position model. Lineage: Eukaryota; Metazoa; Arthropoda; Insecta; Orthoptera; Mogoplistidae. The record is from RNAcentral.
GUCUUUUUGAUUUAUGUAAAAGGUUGAACCUGCUCAAUGAAAAGAAAAUUAAAUAGCUGCGGUAUAUUAACCGUACAAAGGUAGCAUAAUCAUUAGUCUUUUAAUUGAGGGCUGGAAUGAAUGGUUUGACAAAAAAUAAACUGUCUUUAUAUAUAAAAUUGAAAUUUAUUUUUAAGUUAAAAUGCUUAGAUAGAAUUAAGGGACGAGAAGACCCUAUAGAAUUUUUAAAUGGUUUUAGGUGUAAUUGUUUGGUUGAAGUAAGAUUAUAUUAGGAAUUAUUUUUUGUUGGGGUGACAAGAGAAUAAGAAAAACUUCUGAUUUUAUUUUUGACUAAAAUAAUAGAAAGAAAAAUAAGAUCUUUUAAUAAAAAUUAUAAGAAUAAAUUACCUUAGGGAUAACAGCGUAAUUUUAUUUGAGAGUUCAAAUCAAUAAUAAAGUUUGCGACCUCGAUGUUGGAUUAAGAUGAUUAUUAAAUGCAGAAGUUUAAAAAAUAAGUCUGUUCGACUUUUAAAAUCUUACA